RNAcentral lists this unclassified non-coding RNA (401 nucleotides) under plant metagenome. Its description in RNAcentral is "partial contains small subunit ribosomal RNA and internal transcribed spacer 1". The stretch from base 16 to 223 matches the Rfam family "Group I catalytic intron". From Rfam's summary of the family: Group I catalytic introns are large self-splicing ribozymes. The record is from RNAcentral.
AAGUCGUAACAAGGUUUCCGUAGGUCAAGUUUUGCCUACUAGAACAGCGCUAUGCGCUGUUAGUCUCCCUGGGAGGCGACACGCUCAACAUGCGGAAAGGCCCAUAAAGGGAAAUCCGCAGCCCGUCCUCCUCACCCGGGGAUCGGUUCAGAGGCUCAAUGAGUGUGGGUUUGGCUUUUCAGCCAGGCUUGAGAUAGAGUCCGUCCCUGCUGGCAACUGCAGGGACUUGACGGAACCUGCGGAAGGAUCAUUAAAGAAUAUCAGGCUUUACAGCCCUAUUCUCACCCUGUGUAUUUCAAACUUCGUUGCUUUGGCAGGCCCCUGGCUUCGGCUGGACAGCGCCUGCCAGAGGAUCUAAACCCUUGAAUCUCUGCUGUCUGAGUACUAUACAAUAGUUAAAA